AGAGUUUGAUCAUGGCUCAGAAUGAACGCUGGCGGCAUGCCUAACACAUGCAAGUCGAACGAAGCCUUCGGGUUUAGUGGCGCACGGGUGCGUAACGCGUGGGAAUCUGCCCCUUGGUUCGGAAUAACAGUUGGAAACGACUGCUAAUACCGGAUGAUGACGUAAGUCCAAAGAUUUAUCGCCGAGGGAUGAGCCCGCGUAGGAUUAGGUAGUUGGUGUGGUAAAGGCGCACCAAGCCGACGAUCCUUAGCUGGUCUGAGAGGAUGAUCAGCCACACUGGGACUGAGACACGGCCCAGACUCCUACGGGAGGCAGCAGUGGGGAAUAUUGGACAAUGGGCGAAAGCCUGAUCCAGCAAUGCCGCGUGAGUGAUGAAGGCCUUAGGGUUGUAAAGCUCUUUUACCCGGGAUGAUAAUGACAGUACCGGGAGAAUAAGCUCCGGCUAACUCCGUGCCAGCCGCCGCGGUAAUUC
RNAcentral lists this ribosomal RNA (472 nucleotides) under uncultured bacterium. RNAcentral describes it as "bacterial SSU rRNA". It matches the Rfam family "Bacterial small subunit ribosomal RNA", at positions 8 to 526 of the family's 1533-position model. The record is from RNAcentral.